UGUAAGCGUAUACCAAAGUUGUUGCAGUUAAAACGCUUGUAGUCGGAAUUUGGCAGUUCCGGAUGUGUGCACGUCGUGUGCGCACUUCGCGGGGAUUGCUUUUGUGGUCUUGCGUAGGAUGAGGCACUUUUAUUAGUGAACGUCCUCACGCAACCACUUUUUACUGUGAGAAAAUCAGAGUGCUCAAGGCAGGCAUUUGCCGUGAAUGUAUUAGCAUGGAAUAAUAGAAUAGGACUUGGUUCUAUUUUGUUGGUUUGUUGGGACUGAGUAAUGAUUAAGAGGGACAGUUGGGGGCAUUUGUAUUUCGGUGCUAGAGGUGAAAUUCUUAGAUUACCGAAAGACAAACUGCUGCGAAAGCGUCUGCCAAGGAUGUUUUCAUUGA
RNAcentral lists this ribosomal RNA (382 nucleotides) under uncultured eukaryote. Its description in RNAcentral is "partial 18S ribosomal RNA". It matches the Rfam family "Eukaryotic small subunit ribosomal RNA", at positions 592 to 976 of the family's 1831-position model. The record is from RNAcentral.